GGGGAUGUUUUUGGGAUUCGACAGGCGUAGAUUCGCAUUGACUGCGAUUCGUAGGUUACGUCUACGUAAAAACGUUACAGUUAAAUAUAACUGCAAAUAACAAAAAUUCUUACGCAUUAGCUGCUUAAUUUAGCGCAUGCGUUGCUCUUUGUCGGUUUACUCGUGGCUGACACUGAGUAUCAACUUUAGCGAGUUACGUUUAACUAUCUCACCUGAAUAGUUGAAAAGAGUCUUAACAGGUUAGCUAGCUCAUCCUAGCCCUGUUAUAUGGCGUUUUGAGCUAGUGAAGUUCAAGUAAUAUAACUAUGAUCGUAGAGGUCAGUGACGGAAUGCGUCUGGACAGGGGUUCAACUCCCCUCAUCUCCACCA
Molecule: transfer-messenger RNA, 369 nt
Filed under: Lactobacillus helveticus CNRZ32
Lineage: Bacteria; Bacillati; Bacillota; Bacilli; Lactobacillales; Lactobacillaceae
Also listed under: 3 other names
Description: transfer-messenger RNA Lacto_helve_CNRZ22
Rfam family: transfer-messenger RNA
About the family: Bacterial tmRNA, also known as 10Sa RNA or SsrA, is named for its dual tRNA and mRNA-like properties.
Source: RNAcentral